AUGCUCGCUUCGGCAGCACAUAUACUAAAAUUGGAAUGAUACAAAGAAGACGAGCAUGGCCCCUGUGCAAGGAUGACAUGUAAAUUCGUGAAGCAUUUCAUAUUUUU
This 107-nucleotide small nuclear RNA is filed under the name Sorex araneus (European shrew). Lineage: Eukaryota; Metazoa; Chordata; Mammalia; Eulipotyphla; Soricidae. The record is from RNAcentral.